RNAcentral lists this transfer RNA (16 nucleotides) under Phyllodytes gyrinaethes. RNAcentral's name for it is "partial tRNA-Val". The record is from RNAcentral. Lineage: Eukaryota; Metazoa; Chordata; Amphibia; Anura; Hylidae.
CAAAACAUAGCUUAAC